Molecule: ribosomal RNA, 2894 nt
Filed under: Stenotrophomonas maltophilia
Lineage: Bacteria; Pseudomonadati; Pseudomonadota; Gammaproteobacteria; Lysobacterales; Lysobacteraceae
Description: bacterial LSU rRNA
Rfam family: Bacterial large subunit ribosomal RNA
Source: RNAcentral
GUUAUAUGGUCAAGCGAAUAAGCGCACACGGUGGAUGCCUUGGCGGUCAGAGGCGAUGAAGGACGUGGCAGCCUGCGAAAAGUAUCGGGGAGCUGGCAACAAGCUUUGAUCCGGUAAUGUCCGAAUGGGGAAACCCACCCGCUUGCGGGUAUCCUGCAGUGAAUACAUAGCUGCUGGAAGCGAACCUGGUGAACUGAAAUAUCUAAGUAACCAGAGGAAAAGAAAUCAACCGAGAUUCCGUAAGUAGCGACGAGCGAACGCGGACUAGCCCUUAAGCUGAUUUGGUUCUAGGAAAACGCUCUGGAAAGAGCGGCCAUAGAAGGUGAUAGCCCUGUAUCUGAAAGGGCCAUUUCAGUGAAGACGAGUAGGGCGGGGCACGUGAAACCCUGUCUGAACAUGGGGGGACCAUCCUCCAAGGCUAAAUACUACUGACCGACCGAUAGUGAACCAGUACCGUGAGGGAAAGGCGAAAAGAACCCCGGAGAGGGGAGUGAAAUAGAACCUGAAACCGUGUGCGUACAAGCAGUAGGAGCUCCGCAAGGAGUGACUGCGUACCUUUUGUAUAAUGGGUCAGCGACUUACUGUUCGUGGCAAGCUUAACCGUAUAGGGGAGGCGAAGGGAAACCGAGUCUGAUAAGGGCGCAUAGUCGCGGGCAGUAGACCCGAAACCGGGUGAUCUAGUCAUGCCCAGGGUGAAGGUGCGGUAACACGCACUGGAGGCCCGAACCCACUCCCGUUGCAAAGGUAGGGGAUGAGGUGUGAUUAGGAGUGAAAAGCUAAUCGAACCCGGAGAUAGCUGGUUCUCCUCGAAAGCUAUUUAGGUAGCGCCUCAUAUGUAUCCUCUCGGGGGUAGAGCACUGUUAUGGCUAGGGGGUCAUCGCGACUUACCAAACCAUUGCAAACUCCGAAUACCGAGACGGACUGUAUGGGAGACACACGGCGGGUGCUAACGUCCGUCGUGAAAAGGGAAACAACCCAGACCCACAGCUAAGGUCCCAAAUUUUGUGCUAAGUGGAAAACCAUGUGGAAAGGCACAGACAGCCAGGAGGUUGGCUUAGAAGCAGCCACCCUUUAAAGAAAGCGUAAUAGCUCACUGGUCGAGUCGGUCUGCGGGGAAGAUUUAACGGGGCUAAGCACAGAACCGAAGCUUGGGGUGCAUAACUUUGUUAUGCGCGGUAGAGGAGCGUUCCGUAAGCCGUUGAAGGUGGAUUGAGAAGUCUGCUGGAGGUAUCGGAAGUGCGAAUGCUGACAUGAGUAACGAUAAUGCGGGUGAAAAACCCGCACGCCGAAAGCCCAAGGUUUCCUUGCGCAACGUUAAUCGGCGCAGGGUGAGUCGGCCCCUAAGGCGAGGACGAAAGUCGUAGUCGAUGGGAAGCAGGUUAAUAUUCCUGCACCUCGCGUAAGUGCGAUGGAGGGACGGAGAAGGUUAGGUGUACCAGGCGUUGGUUGUCCUGGGGAAAGGCGGUAGGUUUGGAUCUUUGGCAAAUCCGGGAUCCUUUAAGACCGAGCACCGAGACGAGCCUUUAUGGCGAAGUCACUGAUACCACGCUUCCAGGAAAAGCUCCUAAGCUUCAGCUUACGCAGACCGUACCGUAAACCGACACAGGUGGGUAGGAUGAGAAUUCUCAGGCGCUUGAGAGAACUCGGGUGAAGGAACUAGGCAACAUGGCACCGUAACUUCGGGAGAAGGUGCACCCUUUUUGGUGGCUCGUGCGAGCUAUAGCUGAAGAGGGUCGCAGUAACCAGGCCGCUGCGACUGUUUAUCAAAAACACAGCACUCUGCAAACACGAAAGUGGACGUAUAGGGUGUGACGCCUGCCCGGUGCUGGAAGGUUAAUUGAUGGGGUCAGCCGCAAGGCGAAGCUCUUGAUCGAAGCCCCAGUAAACGGCGGCCGUAACUAUAACGGUCCUAAGGUAGCGAAAUUCCUUGUCGGGUAAGUUCCGACCUGCACGAAUGGCGUAACGACAGCGGCGCUGUCUCCACCCGAGACUCAGUGAAAUUGAAAUCGCUGUGAAGAUGCAGCGUUCCCGUGGCAAGACGGAAAGACCCCGUGAACCUUUACUAUAGCUUUACACUGAACGUUGAGUUCGUCUGUGUAGGAUAGGUGGGAGGCUAUGAAACCAUGGCGCUAGCUGUGGCGGAGCCAUCCUUGAAAUACCACCCUGUCGUGCUUGACGUUCUAACCUGGGCCCAUUAUCUGGGUCGGGGACCGUGUAUGGUGGGUAGUUUGACUGGGGCGGUCUCCUCCUAAAGAGUAACGGAGGAGCUCGAAGGUACGCUCAGCGCGGUCGGACAUCGCGCACUGUGUGCAAAGGCAUAAGCGUGCUUGACUGCAAGAUCGACGGAUCAAGCAGGUAGGAAACUAGGACUUAGUGAUCCGGUGGUUCUGUAUGGAAGGGCCAUCGCUCAACGGAUAAAAGGUACUCCGGGGAUAACAGGCUGAUACCGCCCAAGAGUUCAUAUCGACGGCGGUGUUUGGCACCUCGAUGUCGGCUCAUCACAUCCUGGGGCUGUAGUCGGUCCCAAGGGUAUGGCUGUUCGCCAUUUAAAGUGGUACGCGAGCUGGGUUCAGAACGUCGUGAGACAGUUCGGUCCCUAUCUGCCAUGGGCGUUGGAGAUUUGAGAGGGGCUGCUCCUAGUACGAGAGGACCGGAGUGGACGAACCUCUGGUGUUCCGGUUGUCACGCCAGUGGCAUUGCCGGGUAGCUAUGUUCGGAAGCGAUAACCGCUGAAAGCAUCUAAGCGGGAAGCGCGCCUCAAGAUGAGAUCUCCCGGGGCACAAGCCCCCUGAAGGAACCAUGUAGACUACGUGGUUGAUAGGUCAGGUGUGUAAGUACAGCAAUGUAUUGAGCUAACUGAUACUAAUGAUCCGAGAGGCUUGACCAUAUAACCU